AUUCAAUUCAAUUUUAUUUGUAUAGCGCUUUUUACAAUAGACAUUGUCUCAAAGCAGCUUUACAGAAAUAUCAACACGGUAUACAGAUAUUAAAGGUGUGAAUUUAUCCCAACUGAGCAAGCCACUGAGUGGCGACGGUGGCAAGGAAAAACUCCCUAAGAUGUUUUAAGAGGAAGAAACCUUGAGAGGAACCCGACUCGGAAGGGAACCCAUCCUCAUCUGGGUGAUGCUGACAUUGUGUCUAUUCCGGACAUCGUUGAUGAAAUUAAGUUUCUGAACAAGGCAAGCGGAUCGAACUCGGGCGAAGCGGCUCCGCGAGUCAGGUCGGAUAACUCCGUGUUCAAUGAGGACUCGCUCGAGCUUCACAUGGUGCGGCUAGAACUGGAGGAUUUGGAGAAGCAGAUCCGUGGCCUACUCAACAAGCAGGCCCAGCUGCUGGAGCGACAAACUGAGCUGGAAACAUCUUGUGCCUCUGCCCACAUAUCCAAGGUAAGCACACAGCAUGGUAUUUUCACUCCCAGGCCCUCUACGUCGUGUGUUUUUGUGCAGGGACCGUGCACCUAGGACUUUCCCAGCCGUGGUCUCCGUCACGCCGCCGCCAACACUCCUCAGGCCUUGGGUGAACCAGUGGCGGAAGGCGCGGGCUGGACCACAGGUGAGGAGCUCUCCACCUCCGGUGUUCGAGAUUCCAACCGGGAACCGCUUCGCCCCUCUCCGUCAGACCAGACCUAACGCUGUGAUCGUCGGGGACUCCAUUGUGCGGAACGUCCGUGUAGCCUCAUCUAAAGGUGAUGACUUUUGAUGAAAAGUGAGUUUCUAGACAUAAAAUGUCACUUUUUUCACCUUAUCACACUUUAACAUCAACUUUUACAUUUUAAUGUAAACAAUCAUAUUUCCUAAUAUUUUUGGUCAGAAACAGUUCAUAGUACUAUAUUAUGCGUAACUAUGUGAAAAGAAUCAUAUUGGAGUAGGUCGGGCAAUUGAUUAUAUGAGUUUGUUAGAAAAACCACUUUCCUUUGCUCCUAGCGCCUUCUCAAUCGCUGUAUAAGCGUUUUGAGCGGAUAAAGAGCGCAAGUGUGUAAUGGG
Molecule: long non-coding RNA, 1086 nt
Organism: Ictalurus punctatus (channel catfish)
Lineage: Eukaryota; Metazoa; Chordata; Actinopteri; Siluriformes; Ictaluridae
Source: Ensembl